Long non-coding RNA from Sinocyclocheilus grahami, 224 nucleotides. RefSeq lists it as uncharacterized. NCBI's taxonomy places the organism in Eukaryota, Metazoa, Chordata, Actinopteri, Cypriniformes, Cyprinidae. The record is from RefSeq and is a predicted model, not a curated record. The transcript has 4 exons.
CUGUGCUUUAGGGAGCUAAAGGGCCCAGAGGAAUCAAAGGGGCCCCAGGAGACAGAGGCCUGAUGGGAGAGAGGGGUGGAGAUGGACCACCAGGAAAUGGAACCGUGGGUUGCCAUGGCUUCCAGGGUUAUCCUGGGCCCAGGGGAGAUUCAGGAGCACCUGGUGGAAAAGGAACCCCUGGACCCAAGGGAGAUGAUGGAGAGCCAGGUGACCCUGGAUUAGAU